AGCCAGCUGACCUGUCACGUGACUGACAUCAGAGUUCGUCAAGCUGUGAGGGAAUGGCUGGGAAGAGUGGGUCGUGUCUAUGACAUCAUCGUCUAGAGGACUCAGAUCCUAAGGAAAUGCCUAUAGUCAGAGUCUGCCUGUCGAUCCAGCAGAUUGCAUUUUCCCAACCACCAUCCCACUCAAACCAAGUCUCUGAAAAACUAGUUCUCUGAAACCUGGUAACAAAGCUUUUCCCAAGCUCUCCUUAAUUAGUCAACCUUGGGUUAGUCUGGAUGCCAACAUAGUGACAUAAUGAUCUCUGGCCUUGAACAUUGUUACAAAAGAGUCUGCGUUACUUGAUACAUUUCUAAAUCUAAUUUCCAAGUGCAUUUGCUUGCAGUAUUAUACCCCAAUGGGUAAUUUUCAACAUUCUCCUUUGGAAGCCCUAGGCUGAUCCAUUUGAGCCAUCAUUUUCAAAAUUAAUUCCUAAGAAAACAUUUGCUGGUAAGUCAAGCUGAUGUAAAAAAAAAAUCAUAUAACUGGCACCAGACAUAAUUAAUCAGAAAAACUUAUAUUCUGAUUAUAUAGUGUGGUUGGGAAGAAAACUGCAAAAGUCUUUUUUUUUUCAGUGUUCUAAUCAAGAAAGAAAUUACUUCUAAAAUAUAUUCAGGAACAUUUCAACAUUAUUCUUGAGGUUUUUAGAUCUUUGUGUUAAUAGUCACAAAUUCCCCAGGUAAGGUACUGUUGUGCCUUUAUGUCUCUGUUUCUAAAGGGAGGGAAUUUUUUCC
Molecule: long non-coding RNA, 767 nt
Filed under: Rattus norvegicus (Norway rat)
Lineage: Eukaryota; Metazoa; Chordata; Mammalia; Rodentia; Muridae
Description: long non-coding RNA NONRATT001970
Source: RNAcentral